CCUACGGGAGGCAGCAGUGAGGAAUAUUGGUCAAUGGACGCGAGUCUGAACCAGCCAAGUCGCGUGCAGGAAGACUGCCCUAUGAGUUGUAAACUGCUUUUGUACGAGGGUAAACGCAGAUACGCGUAUCUUUUUGAAAGUACUUUAUGAAUAAGGAUCGGCUAACUCCGUGCCAGCAGCCGCGGUAAUACGGAGGAUUCAAGCGUUAUCCGGAUUUAUUGGGUUUAAAGGGAGCGUAGACGGUCGGUUAAGUUAGAGGUGAAAUCCCGCGGCUCAACUUCGGAAUUGCCUUUGAUACUGGUCGGCUAGAGUGUAGUUGAGGUAGGCGGAAUGUAUGGUGUAGCGGUGAAAUGCUUAGAGAUCAUGCAGAACACCGAUUGCGAAGGCAGCUUACCAAGCU
Molecule: ribosomal RNA, 400 nt
Filed under: uncultured bacterium
Lineage: Bacteria
Description: partial 16S ribosomal RNA
Rfam family: Bacterial small subunit ribosomal RNA
Source: RNAcentral